GUGUCAGCAGCCGCGGUAAUACGUAGGGUGCGAGCGUUAUCCGGAAUCAUUGGGCGUAAAGAGCUCGUAGGCGGUUCAGCAAGUCGGCUGUGAAAGUCCGAGGCUCAACCUCGGAAUUGCAGUCGAUACUGCUGUGACUCGAGUCCGGUAGAGGAGAAUGGAAUUCCCGGUGUAGCGGUGAAAUGCGCAGAUAUCGGGAGGAACACCAGUAGCGAAGGCGGUUCUCUGGGCCGGCACUGACGCUGAGGAGCGAAAGCGUGGGGAGCAAACAGGAUUAGAAACCCGCGUAGUCC
This 293-nucleotide ribosomal RNA is filed under the name uncultured bacterium. Its description in RNAcentral is "partial 16S ribosomal RNA". It matches the Rfam family "Bacterial small subunit ribosomal RNA", at positions 505 to 796 of the family's 1533-position model. The record is from RNAcentral.